UGCCCUAGUAACGGCGAGUGAAGCGGCAACAGCUCAAAUUUGAAAGCUGGCUCUCGGGCCCGCAUUGUAAUUUGCAGAGGAUGCUUCUGGCGACGCGCCUUCCGAGUUCCCUGGAACGGGACGCCAUAGAGGGUGAGAGCCCCGUCCGGUCGUGCGCCUAGCCUCUGUGAAGCUCCUUCGACGAGUCGAGUAGUUUGGGAAUGCUGCUCAAAAUGGGAGGUAUACGUCUUCUAAAGCUAAAUACCGGCCAGAGACCGAUAGCGCACAAGUAGAGUGAUCGAAAGAUGAAAAGCACUUUGAAAAGAGAGUUAAAAAGUACGUGAAAUUGUUGAAAGGGAAGCGCUCAUGACCAGACUUGGGCUGGCCCGAUCAUCCGGCGUUCUCGCCGGUGCACUCGGGCCGCCCAGGCCAGCAUCAGCUUUCGCCGGGGGAUAAAGGCGGCGGGAAUGUGGCUCCCUCGGGAGUGUUAUAGCCCGCCGUGCAAUACCCUGGUGGGGGCUGAGGUUCGCGCGUAUGCACGGAUGCUGGCGUAAUGGUUAUCAGCGAC
This 547-nucleotide ribosomal RNA is filed under the name Trichothecium roseum. Its description in RNAcentral is "eukaryotic LSU rRNA". It matches the Rfam family "Eukaryotic large subunit ribosomal RNA", at positions 76 to 648 of the family's 3401-position model. The record is from RNAcentral. Lineage: Eukaryota; Fungi; Ascomycota; Sordariomycetes; Hypocreales.